UCGGACGUCGUGCACGGUGCACACCCGCUCCCUAUAAAGUUCUUUUCGUCGCUGGACUGCGGGAUUCCUGGGUUCGACUCCCAGCGUCCGAA
Molecule: non-coding RNA, 92 nt
Organism: Mycena filopes
Lineage: Eukaryota; Fungi; Basidiomycota; Agaricomycetes; Agaricales; Mycenaceae
Source: the annotation of a GenBank genome assembly